RNAcentral lists this ribosomal RNA (247 nucleotides) under uncultured bacterium. RNAcentral's name for it is "partial 16S ribosomal RNA". It matches the Rfam family "Bacterial small subunit ribosomal RNA", at positions 524 to 776 of the family's 1533-position model. The record is from RNAcentral.
UACGAAGGGUGCAAGCGUUACUCGGAAUUACUGGCGUAAGCGUGCGUAGGUGGUUUUUAAGUCCGUUGUGAAAGCCCUGGGCUCAACCUGGGAAUGGCAGUGGAUACUGGAAGCUAGAGUGCGGUAGAGGGUAGUGGAAUUCCCGGUGUAGCAGUGAAAUGCGUAGAGAUCGGGAGGAACACCAGUGGCGAAGGCGGCUACCUGGACCAGCACUGACACUGAGGCACGAAAGCGUGGGAGCAACAGG